UGGCUCAGUGGUAGAGUGCUUGCCUUGCAUGCAUGAAACCCUGGGUUCGAUUCCUCAG
This 58-nucleotide transfer RNA is filed under the name Dipodomys ordii (Ord's kangaroo rat). It matches the Rfam family "tRNA", at positions 8 to 63 of the family's 71-position model. Rfam says of the family: Transfer RNA (tRNA) molecules are approximately 80 nucleotides in length. Their secondary structure includes four short double-helical elements and three loops (D, anti-codon, and T loops). Lineage: Eukaryota; Metazoa; Chordata; Mammalia; Rodentia; Heteromyidae. The record is from Rfam by way of RNAcentral.